UCCCUCCAGAUUCCUUAGGCCUCAAACCUCAAUAGUGGUCUGAGUGGCUUUAAAAAAAAAAAGGAGGAAAAGUAAAACUGAAAUGGGCUUGGAGUCUUUAGUGACAAGCAAGCUCAUCUUAAACAGAC
This 128-nucleotide small nucleolar RNA is filed under the name Echinops telfairi (small Madagascar hedgehog). Its description in RNAcentral is "Small nucleolar RNA SNORA61 (ENSETEG00000026075.1)". Lineage: Eukaryota; Metazoa; Chordata; Mammalia; Afrosoricida; Tenrecidae. The record is from RNAcentral.